AACCUAUGAUGUGGGCGUCUCUGUAUUAGCGUUUUAAAAUGCUCCCAAGCUUCGUGAAAGCUCUCUCCUUCUAACUGUUUAAAUGUUGUGAUAUCUCUUCUUAGUU
RNAcentral lists this small nucleolar RNA (106 nucleotides) under Gossypium hirsutum (cotton). RNAcentral's name for it is "Plant small nucleolar RNA R71". It matches the Rfam family "Plant small nucleolar RNA R71". From Rfam's summary of the family: R71 is a member of the C/D box family of snoRNAs containing the C (UGAUGA) and D (CUGA) box motifs. Multiple nearly identical copies of this snoRNA have been identified in Arabidopsis, and it is thought to function as a 2'-O-ribose methylation guide for 18S ribosomal RNA. The record is from Rfam by way of RNAcentral. Lineage: Eukaryota; Viridiplantae; Streptophyta; Magnoliopsida; Malvales; Malvaceae.